AGAACAGGUUGGGCGGUCGCUGCUGGCAUCUCAAAUCGUCAGUUUUCGGAUUCAUCUGAAAUACCAGACUUGAGUUACCCAGGAGAGGAAAGUCCGAACACUACAGGGCAGCGAGCCCGCUAACGGCGGGGCGUUCGAGCAAUCGGACGACGACAAGUGCAACAGAGAACAGACCAGCCACGCUCUUGAGAUUUCUUUUGAGAUCUCAAUAGAAUCGCGGAUUGAGAGAUUCGGGAUUCGAACGCGCGGUGAUGGGUGAAACGGUGCGGCCCUUCGGGGCUUAAAGUAAGAGCGCACCGGCGUAUGUGGUGACAUAUACGGCCAGGCAAACUCCUCGCAGUGCAAGAUCAAAUAGGGAGGCGUCACCAGGGCUGCCCGCCCGAAUCCCGAUACAUCGGGAUACGACCUCCGGGUAGAUCGCUUGAUCCAAUCUGGCAACAGUUGGACUAGAUGAAUGAUCGCCACUCCGGUCUCAGUUUUCAGAUCUCAGAUUUGGGAUCUCAAAUUUGAGAUUUGAAAUCUGAGAUCGGAGAACAGAAUUCGGCUUAUAGACCUGUUCUCUUU
This 564-nucleotide RNase P RNA is filed under the name Pyrinomonadaceae bacterium. RNAcentral describes it as "RNase P RNA component class A". It matches the Rfam family "Bacterial RNase P class A". From Rfam's summary of the family: Ribonuclease P (RNase P) is a ubiquitous endoribonuclease, found in archaea, bacteria and eukarya as well as chloroplasts and mitochondria. Lineage: Bacteria; Pseudomonadati; Acidobacteriota; Blastocatellia; Blastocatellales; Pyrinomonadaceae. The record is from RNAcentral.